This 427-nucleotide ribosomal RNA is filed under the name uncultured bacterium. RNAcentral describes it as "partial 16S ribosomal RNA". It matches the Rfam family "Bacterial small subunit ribosomal RNA", at positions 355 to 774 of the family's 1533-position model. The record is from RNAcentral.
UGGGGAAUAUUGCACAAUGGGCGCAAGCCUGAUGCAGCCAUGCCGCGUGUAUGAAGAAGGCCUUCGGGUUGUAAAGUACUUUCAGCGGGGAGGAAGGCGAUAAGGUUAAUAACCUUGUCGAUUGACGUUACCCGCAGAAGAAGCACCGGCUAACUCCGUGCCAGCAGCCGCGGUAAUACGGAGGGUGCAAGCGUUAAUCGGAAUUACUGGGCGUAAAGCGCACGCAGGCGGUCUGUCAAGUCGGAUGUGAAAUCCCCGGGCUCAACCUGGGAACUGCAUUCGAAACUGGCAGGCUAGAGUCUUGUAGAGGGGGGUAGAAUUCCAGGUGUAGCGGUUAAAUGCGUAGAGAUCUGGAGGAAUACCGGUGGCGAAGGCGGCCCCCUGGACAAAGACUGACGCUCAGGUGCGAAAGCGUGGGGUUCAAACA